GUGCCAGCCGCCGCGGUAAUACGGAGGGUGCGAGCGUUAAUCGGAAUUACUGGGCGUAAAGCGCGCGUAGGCGGCUUGAUAAGCCGGUUGUGAAAGCCCCGGGCUCGACCUGGGAACGGCAUCCGGAACUGUCAGGCUAGAGUGCAGGAGAGGAAGGUAGAAUUCCCGGUGUAGCGGUGAAAUGCGUAGAGAUCAGGAGGAAUACCAGUGGCGAAGGCGGCCUUCUGGACUGACACUGACGCUGAGGUGCGAAAGCGUGGGUAGCAAACAGGAUUAGAUACCCUGGUAGUCCACGCCGUAAACGAUGUCGACUAGCCGUUGGGUCCUUCGCGGACUUUGUGGCGCAGUUAACGCGAUAAGUCGACCGCCUGGGGAGUACGGCCGCAAGGUUAAAACUCAAAUGAAUUGACGGGAGCCCGCACAAGCGGUGGAGCAUGUGGUUUAAUUCGAUGCAACGCGAAGAACCUUACCUACCCUUGACAUCCUGCGAACCCUUCGGAGACGAAGGGGUGCCUUCGGAAACGCAGAGACAGGUGCUGCAUGGCUGUCGUCAGCUCGUGUUGUGAAAUGUUGGGUUAAGUCCCGUAACGAGCGCAACCCUUGUCCCUAUUUGCCAGCGAUUCGGUCGGGAACUCUAGGGAGACUGCCGGUGACAAACCGGAGGAAGGUGGGGACGACGUCAAGUCAUCAUGGCCCUUACGGGUAGGGCUACACACGUGCUACAAUGGUCAGUACAAAGGGUUGCGAACUUGCGAGAGUGAGCCAAUCCCAGAAAGCUGAUCUCAGUCCGGAUCGGAGUCUGCAACUCGACUCCGUGAAGUCGGAAUCGCUGGGUAAUCGUGAAUCAGAAUGUCACGGUGAAUACGUUCCCGGGCCUUGUACACACCGCCCGUCACACCAUGGGAGUGGACUGCACCAGAAGUGGUUAGCCUAACCUUCGGGAGGGCGAUCACCACGGUGUGGUUCAUGACUGGGGUGAAGUCGUAACAAGGUAACC
This 997-nucleotide ribosomal RNA is filed under the name uncultured bacterium. RNAcentral describes it as "bacterial SSU rRNA". It matches the Rfam family "Bacterial small subunit ribosomal RNA", at positions 505 to 1501 of the family's 1533-position model. The record is from RNAcentral.